UGGGGAAUAUUGGACAAUGGGCGAAAGCCUGAUCCAGCCAUGCCGCGUGUGUGAAGAAGGUCUUCGGAUUGUAAAGCACUUUAAGUUGGGAGGAAGGGCAGUAACCUAAUACGUUGCUGUCUUGACGUUACCGACAGAAUAAGCACCGGCUAACUCUGUGCCAGCAGCCGCGGUAAUACAGAGGGUGCAAGCGUUAAUCGGAAUUACUGGGCGUAAAGCGCGCGUAGGUGGUUUGUUAAGUUGGAUGUGAAAUCCCCGGGCUCAACCUGGGAACUGCAUUCAAAACUGACAAGCUAGAGUAUGGUAGAGGGUGGUGGAAUUUCCUGUGUAGCGGUGAAAUGCGUAGAUAUAGGAAGGAACACCAGUGGCGAAGGCGACCACCUGGACUGAUACUGACACUGAGGUGCGAAAGCGUGGGGAGCAAACAGGAUU
This 432-nucleotide ribosomal RNA is filed under the name uncultured bacterium. Its description in RNAcentral is "bacterial SSU rRNA". It matches the Rfam family "Bacterial small subunit ribosomal RNA", at positions 355 to 779 of the family's 1533-position model. The record is from RNAcentral.